Molecule: ribosomal RNA, 429 nt
Filed under: Chloroflexota bacterium
Lineage: Bacteria; Bacillati; Chloroflexota
Description: Chloroflexi bacterium partial 16S ribosomal RNA
Rfam family: Bacterial small subunit ribosomal RNA
Source: RNAcentral
UGGGGAAUAUUGCACAAUGGGCGCAAGCCUGAAGCAGCCAUGCCGCGUGUAUGAAGAAGGCCUUCGGGUUGUAAAGUACUUUCAGCGGGGAGGAAGGGAGUAAAGUUAAUACCUUUACUCAUUGACGUUACCCGCAGAAGAAGCACCGGCUAACUCCGUGCCAGCAGCCGCGGUAAUACGGAGGGUGCAAGCGUUAAUCGGAAUUACUGGGCGUAAAGCGCACGCAGGCGGUCUGUCAAGUCGGAUGUGAAAUCCCCGGGCUCAACCUGGGAACUGCAUUCGAAACUGGCAGGCUAGAGUCUUGUAGAGGGGGGUAGAAUUCCAGGUGUAGCGGUGAAAUGCGUAGAGAUCUGGAGGAAUACCGGUGGCGAAGGCGGCCCCCUGGACAAAGACUGACGCUCAGGUGCGAAAGCGUGGGGAGCAAACAGG